UAUAUUUAAUUGCUUAAUAAACUGCCUAAGAGAAGUAGCUGAUUUAAAUUUAAAUAAAAAAAAUAUAUUCGUUAAAUAAAAAUAAAAUUUCCGGUUAAUUCCACCAUGUUGGUUUUAAUCAAUCAAUCUUCGAAAAAAUCGAUUCUGGGGGGAAUCAAUCUUGAAUCAUACAUCCCUACCCGGAAUAAAUAUUUCAUCAACCACGCGGUGUGGUAACCUAUAAUUUGUAUCAACUAAAUCCACAAUUAUAAAUUAUCUUUCUUUUUUCUGUGUCAAUAAUAAUCAACAUCAUCACUACCAUCAUCAUCAUCAAGAAUAUCCGCUAUUUACACAUCAAGACGUCAAAUAAUCAAAAGAAGUCAUCGCCCGAUGGUCCAGGCAUUCCAAGAGCUGCCGCUCGGACGAUGCAGACAUUCCUGCAGGCAGUCGAUAAGGGAAUUCGAUUACCCUUCAUCAGAACUGCUGUGUAGAUUACAAGUCCAGCAGCCAGUCAUUUGGAAAAACCUAAAUCCAGCUGUUUAAGAAAAGUAGCCAUCGAAACAGUUCUACAACUUCACUUCGGGAGGAUUCAAGCAUUCAGUCACCUCUUCAAAUGGAGUCAACGUUUUACGAUAGUUUUUUUUAUAUACAUGUAUAUUGUCAAUUUUUCUUGAUAAUCAAAACACAAAGGGAUUUUUCGUCAUAAAUUAAGUUUAAAAUGUUAAAUUUAUAAUUGAACAAAAAUUUUACAAAAUUAUUUCUUGACGAAAUAAUAAAAAAGAAUUGAUUCUUGUAUUAAACAAUCACUAGCAGAAUUUAUCUCUAUCGAGCAAAGUUUAUAAAAUAUUGAAUAAUUAUACCCUAAUAAAUUGAGUUUCAUU
Molecule: long non-coding RNA, 860 nt
Organism: Microplitis mediator
Lineage: Eukaryota; Metazoa; Arthropoda; Insecta; Hymenoptera; Braconidae
Exons: 3
Source: RefSeq, a predicted model, not a curated record